Molecule: transfer RNA, 75 nt
Filed under: Acidiferrobacteraceae bacterium
Lineage: Bacteria; Pseudomonadati; Pseudomonadota; Gammaproteobacteria; Acidiferrobacterales; Acidiferrobacteraceae
Description: tRNA-Glu
Rfam family: tRNA
About the family: Transfer RNA (tRNA) molecules are approximately 80 nucleotides in length. Their secondary structure includes four short double-helical elements and three loops (D, anti-codon, and T loops).
Source: RNAcentral
GUCCCCUUCGUCUAGCGGUUAGGACACCGCCCUUUCACGGCGGCAACAGGGGUUCGAUUCCCCUAGGGGACGCCA